RNAcentral lists this ribosomal RNA (429 nucleotides) under Chloroflexota bacterium. RNAcentral describes it as "Chloroflexi bacterium partial 16S ribosomal RNA". It matches the Rfam family "Bacterial small subunit ribosomal RNA", at positions 355 to 776 of the family's 1533-position model. Lineage: Bacteria; Bacillati; Chloroflexota. The record is from RNAcentral.
UGGGGAAUAUUGCACAAUGGGCGCAAGCCUGAUGCAGCCAUGCCGCGUGUGUGAAGAAGGCCUUCGGGUUGUAAAGCACUUUCAGCGGGGAGGAAGGCGUUAAGGUUAAUAACCUUGGCGAUUGACGUUACCCGCAGAAGAAGCACCGGCUAACUCCGUGCCAGCAGCCGCGGUAAUACGGAGGGUGCAAGCGUUAAUCGGAAUUACUGGGCGUAAAGCGCACGCAGGCGGUCUGUCAAGUCGGAUGUGAAAUCCCCGGGCUCAACCUGGGAACUGCAUUCGAAAAUGGCAGGCUAGAGUCUUGUAGAGGGGGGUAGAAUUCCAGGUGUAGCGGUGAAAUGCGUAGAGAUCUGGAGGAAUACCGGUGGCGAAGGCGGCCCACUGGACAAAGACUGACGCUCAGGUGCGAAAGCGUGGGGAGCAAACAGG